RNAcentral lists this long non-coding RNA (304 nucleotides) under Homo sapiens (human). RNAcentral describes it as "non-protein coding lnc-XAGE1B-4:2". The record is from RNAcentral. Lineage: Eukaryota; Metazoa; Chordata; Mammalia; Primates; Hominidae.
AUGAGUUGGCGAGGAAGAUGAUAUAGACCAAGACGAUGUUUACGACUUGCUCAGCUGAUUGGGCCUAUGCUUGAGCCCAGUGUGCCAGAGCCUCAACAAGAAGAACCACCAGCUUAAAGUUGGGAUCGUACACCUGGUCAGAAGACAGAAGAAGAUCAGGGUGCAGCUGAGAUUCAAGUGCCUGACCUGGAAGCUGAUCUCCAGGAGCUGUCUCAGUCAAAGACUGGGGAUGAAUGCGGAGAUGGUCCUGAUGUCCAGGGGAAGAUUCUGACAAAGUCAGAGCAAUUUAAAAUGCCAGAAGGAG